Molecule: ribosomal RNA, 348 nt
Filed under: Clostridium sp. 1xD42-85
Lineage: Bacteria; Bacillati; Bacillota; Clostridia; Eubacteriales; Clostridiaceae
Description: bacterial SSU rRNA
Rfam family: Bacterial small subunit ribosomal RNA
Source: RNAcentral
AAUAUUGCACAAUGGGGGAAACCCUGAUGCAGCGACGCCGCGUGAGCGAUGAAGUAUUUCGGUAUGUAAAGCUCUAUCAGCAGGGAAGAAAAUGACGGUACCUGACUAAGAAGCCCCGGCUAACUACGUGCCAGCAGCCGCGGUAAUACGUAGGGGGCAAGCGUUAUCCGGAUUUACUGGGUGUAAAGGGAGCGUAGACGGCUGUGCAAGCCAGAUGUGAAAGCCCGGGGCUCAACCCCGGGACUGCAUUUGGAACUGUGUGGCUGGAGUGUCGGAGAGGCAGGCGGAAUUCCUAGUGUAGCGGUGAAAUGCGUAGAUAUUAGGAGGAACACCAGUGGCGAAGGCGGC